AUAGAGACUCAGAGCUGCAUAUCAAUAAGCGGAGGAAAAGAAACUAACAAGGAUUCCCUUAGUAACGGCGAGUGAAGCGGGAAGAGCUCAAAUUUGAAAUCUUCAAGGUUCUACCUUGACGAAUUGUAGUUUAUAGAAGUGUUUUUCUGUUAGUAGAGUGGCAAAAGUUCUUUGGAAUAGGACAUCAUAGAGGGUGAGAAUCCCGUAUUUGGUCAUUCCUUCUAGCGUUGUGAUACACUUUCAACGAGUCGGAUUGUUUGGGAAUGCAGUCCAAAAUGGGUGGUAAAUUUCAUCUAAAGCUAAAUAUUGGCGAGAGACCGAUAGCGAACAAGUACCGUGAGGGAAAGAUGAAAAGAACUUUGAAAAGAGAGUUAAACAGUACGUGAAAUUGUCAAAAGGGAAGCGUUUGACACCAGUGUUGUUUAGUUGAAAAUCAAUUAAAUAAUUUUUCGAUUUUAAGUAGUAUUGACCUUAUCAGCUUGCUGCUUUUUUCUCAGAAAUUAUUUAAUGCACUUUUCAGUUAACAAGUCAACAUCAAUUUCUUUUGUUGUAAAAAGGUAAGAGGAAGGUGGCUUGCGCUUCGGCUCAAGUGUUUAUAGCCUUUUACCCCUGCAAUCGGAGAGAUUGAGGUCUGCAGCGUAGAUCCUUCGGGGUUAGAUACAUUUGUGCUAAGCUAUAGCCUUGUAUAGACAACUUGUUGACUAUGCUCAGUCAUGUAGCUUACUCGCUUAUGCUAUUUUACCUACGCUUAGGAUGUUGAUAGUCACAGCGUGUAC
This 776-nucleotide ribosomal RNA is filed under the name uncultured Neocallimastigales. RNAcentral describes it as "partial large subunit ribosomal RNA". It matches the Rfam family "Eukaryotic large subunit ribosomal RNA", at positions 23 to 631 of the family's 3401-position model. Lineage: Eukaryota; Fungi; Neocallimastigomycota; Neocallimastigomycetes; Neocallimastigales. The record is from RNAcentral.